Molecule: transfer RNA, 72 nt
Filed under: Versteria mustelae
Lineage: Eukaryota; Metazoa; Platyhelminthes; Cestoda; Cyclophyllidea; Taeniidae
Description: tRNA-Leu (CUN)
Source: RNAcentral
GUAAAGAUGCCAGAAAUUAUUUUAUGGGAUUAAUUUAGGUUUAAUUUAUGACUGGUAUUAGGUCUCUUUAUU